RNAcentral lists this ribosomal RNA (497 nucleotides) under uncultured bacterium. RNAcentral's name for it is "partial 16S ribosomal RNA". It matches the Rfam family "Bacterial small subunit ribosomal RNA", at positions 28 to 507 of the family's 1533-position model. The record is from RNAcentral.
GAUGAACGCUGGCGGCGUGCCUAAUACAUGCAAGUCGAGCGAACGGACGAGAAGCUUGCUUCUCUGAUGUUAGCGGCGGACGGGUGAGUAACACGUGGAUAACCUACCUAUAAGACUGGGAUAACUUCGGGAAACCGGAGCUAAUACCGGAUAAUAUUUUGAACCGCAUGGUUCAAAAGUAAAAGACGGUCUUGCUGUCACUUAUAGAUGGAUCCGCGCUGCAUUAGCUAGUUGGUAAGGUAACGGCUUACCAAGGCAACGAUGCAUAGCCGACCUGAGAGGGUGAUCGGCCACACGGGAACUGAAACACGGUCCAGACUCCUACGGGAGGCAGCAGUAGGGAAUCUUCCGCGAUGGGCGAAAGCCUGACGGAGCAACGCCGCGUGAGUGAUGAAGGUCUUCGGAUCGUAAAACUCUGUUAUUAGGGAAGAACAUAUGUGUAAGUAACUGUGCACAUCUUGACGGUACCUAAUCAGAAAGCCACGGCUAACUACGUG